RNAcentral lists this ribosomal RNA (553 nucleotides) under uncultured beta proteobacterium. Its description in RNAcentral is "bacterial SSU rRNA". It matches the Rfam family "Bacterial small subunit ribosomal RNA", at positions 37 to 587 of the family's 1533-position model. Lineage: Bacteria; Pseudomonadati; Pseudomonadota; Betaproteobacteria. The record is from RNAcentral.
UGGCGGCAUGCCUUACACAUGCAAGUCGAACGGCAGCGCGGGGCAACCUGGCGGCGAGUGGCGAACGGGUGAGUAAUAUAUCGGAACGUACCCUGGAGUGGGGGAUAACGUAGCGAAAGUUACGCUAAUACCGCAUACGAUCCAUGGAUGAAAGCAGGGGACCGCAAGGCCUUGUGCUCCUGGAGCGGCCGAUAUCUGAUUAGCUAGUUGGUGGGGUAAAGGCCUACCAAGGCAUCGAUCAGUAGCUGGUCUGAGAGGACGACCAGCCACACUGGAACUGAGACACGGUCCAGACUCCUACGGGAGGCAGCAGUGGGGAAUUUUGGACAAUGGGCGCAAGCCUGAUCCAGCAAUGCCGCGUGAGUGAAGAAGGCCUUCGGGUUGUAAAGCUCUUUUGUCAGGGAAGAAACGGUCGUGGCUAAUAUCCAUGGCUAAUGACGGUACCUGAAGAAUAAGCACCGGCUAACUACGUGCCAGCAGCCGCGGUAAUACGUAGGGUGCAAGCGUUAAUCGGAAUUACUGGGCGUAAAGCGUGCGCAGGCGGUUUUGUAAG